GGGGUUGUAGCUUAGUGGUAGAGUGCUCAUCUAGCAUGUGUGAGGUGCUGGGUUUGAACCUCAGCACCACA
Molecule: transfer RNA, 71 nt
Filed under: Marmota monax (woodchuck)
Lineage: Eukaryota; Metazoa; Chordata; Mammalia; Rodentia; Sciuridae
Description: tRNA.Ala
Rfam family: tRNA
About the family: Transfer RNA (tRNA) molecules are approximately 80 nucleotides in length. Their secondary structure includes four short double-helical elements and three loops (D, anti-codon, and T loops).
Source: RNAcentral